Molecule: long non-coding RNA, 754 nt
Organism: Ictalurus punctatus (channel catfish)
Lineage: Eukaryota; Metazoa; Chordata; Actinopteri; Siluriformes; Ictaluridae
Source: Ensembl
GUUCAGUAGGUCAACCUGUGCCGGUAUAGUUCCUGGAGAAAAAAACAAAAGAGAAAAAGAAUGGUGGGAAUGGACUGGCUGACAUGGGGGUGAAACCCAGUGGAGUGAGCGACAUAAGAUGGCCAGUGCAUACAGUGAUAGCAGAGCUGCCAUGCAAGGCGCUAACUUGCCAUCGGAGCAACUUGGGGUUCAGUGUCUUGCCCAAGGACACUUUGGCAUGUGGAGUCAUGCUGGCUGGGAACCGCCAACCCUACGAUUAGUGGACAACCCGCUCUACCACCUGAUCCACAGCCACCCCUGGCACUGUGCAGCUAUCUGUUACAAAUGAAUGGGAAAAUUCAAGGAUGUUGUAAUUGGUAAGUUGUGAUGUCAAAAGUAUCUGUACCAAGUUGAUACUAAAAUUUUAAAAAGAAUGAUACGAUCAGUUUUUUUUUUCAGUACCGGCUGUACCAAGUAUUCUCCUGCUUUCUGAUUGACUUUCUUUUCCAUGCUGAGGGAGGUGUUGACUAAAUUAGAGAUGGUGCUGGACCAACAAACCACUGAGCUUGCUUCAACUACAGGUGUUCCAGGUGCAGUCUUUGGAUACUGAUGAAGAUUUACUGCCCUGCAAGAUCUUCCUCAACUGCAUAGUCUGGAGCGAAGGAUGCAACAGAGCCCAGAUUACAAGCAAAAACUGGGCGGAUGUGCUCGACUGCACCUGGCGCAUACUGAAGAGGGUGAUUGCUAACUCCCUGGCAAAGAAUCUCAAUUGGAG